UACGUAGGGGGCGAGCGUUGUCCGGAAUUAUUGGGCGUAAAGAGCGUGUAGGCGGUUCGGUAAGUCUGCCGUGAAAACCUGGGGCUCAACCCCGGGCGUGCGGUGGAUACUGCCGGGCUAGAGGGUGGUAGAGGCGAGUGGAAUUCCUGGUGUAGCGGUGAAAUGCGCAGAUAUCAGGAGGAACACCGAUGGCGAAGGCAGCUCGCUGGGACGGUACUGACGCUGAGGCGCGAAAGCAUGGGGAGCGAACAGG
This 253-nucleotide ribosomal RNA is filed under the name uncultured bacterium. Its description in RNAcentral is "partial 16S ribosomal RNA". It matches the Rfam family "Bacterial small subunit ribosomal RNA", at positions 524 to 776 of the family's 1533-position model. The record is from RNAcentral.